This 810-nucleotide ribosomal RNA is filed under the name Triticum aestivum (bread wheat). RNAcentral's name for it is "partial small subunit ribosomal RNA". The record is from RNAcentral. Lineage: Eukaryota; Viridiplantae; Streptophyta; Magnoliopsida; Poales; Poaceae.
AUGAAUCGCGGUUGCGCGUCAUUCACGGAUCUCCUCUUCAGUUUUUGUUCCCAACCGGUCGCAGCCGAGGGCGUCCCAGAUCCGGCAUUGCUAGAGGAAGGGGAGGGAGACGACGAGUGCGGGGGUGGAGGGGAUUAUGGUGUUAAUGACUCUCCUUACUCAAGUUCUGCAUCUCAAGUUCAUGAAGCCACGGAAGAUUUUCUCAAUGUCCCAGAUUGUGACAACACCAACAGUUACCAGGAGCCUCCAUCUGAAUCCCAGCGCACUCCAAUGCCGUGGCCUCAAAGGAUCCGUCUUGGUAAGAUACCUGACCGCCGCGCCUCAUUGUCGGGAAGGAAAAGUGCUUUGGAGAAGGCCAUGAGAAACUUUGCAGAUAAGAAGUCAGGUAUCGUUGUCAAGCCGGAGAUCAGUCAGGAAUUUGACUCUCUCGACGAAGCGUACGACUUCUACAACCUAUACUCUUGGGAGACUGGUUUUGGCAUCAAGUAUGGGCAAUGCAGAAGAAAUGUUGACAAGUGCAAGAUUGUCCAGGACAUAGUAUGUGGAUGCGCGGGGAAACCACGUAGGGAGAAUUCACAUUCAGUAUGCUGCCAAUGUCCUGCACUUAUAAGGUUGCAUCGCACAUCAGACCAUGGCUGGUUCAUUCAUGACAUGAAGUAUCAGGGGAAACCACGUAGGGAGAAUUCACAUUCAGUAUGCUGCCAAUGUCCUGCACUUAUGAGGUUGCAUCGCACAUCAGACCAUGGCUGGUUCAUCCAUGACAUGAAGUAUGAGGUUGCAGCCGGCAUCGUCUAUGAACAACUUUGUUAG